AACGAACGCUGGCGGCAUGCCUAACACAUGCAAGUCGAACGAAGCCUUCGGGCUUAGUGGCGCACGGGUGCGUAACGCGUGGGAAUCUGCCCUUUGGUUCGGAAUAACAGUUGGAAACGACUGCUAAUACCGGAUGAUGACGAAAGUCCAAAGAUUUAUCGCCAGAGGAUGAGCCCGCGUAGGAUUAGCUAGUUGGUGUGGUAAAGGCGCACCAAGGCGACGAUCCUUAGCUGGUCUGAGAGGAUGAUCAGCCACACUGGGACUGAGACACGGCCCAGACUCCUACGGGAGGCAGCAGUGGGGAAUAUUGGACAAUGGGCGAAAGCCUGAUCCAGCAAUGCCGCGUGAGUGAUGAAGGCCCUAGGGUUGUAAAGCUCUUUUACCCGGGAUGAUAAUGACAGUACCGGGAGAAUAGGCCCCGGCUAACUCCGUGCCAGCAGCCGCAGUAA
RNAcentral lists this ribosomal RNA (449 nucleotides) under uncultured bacterium. Its description in RNAcentral is "partial 16S ribosomal RNA". It matches the Rfam family "Bacterial small subunit ribosomal RNA", at positions 29 to 523 of the family's 1533-position model. The record is from RNAcentral.